AUGGACAUUUCUGUUGCUCAAUAUGUAGCUUUCUAUGGGGUCAUACUUGUGAUUGGAUGGCUAUUACACUGGGUAUACAGAUGGAUUAACCCAGUUUGCAACGGGGUUCUUCCUCCCGGCUCCAUGGGAGUGCCAAUUAUUGGUGAGACCUUUGACUUCCUCAAGGCAAGCCCUUCCUUGGACAUCCCAGACUUUUUGAAACUAAGGAUGAAAAGGUACGGCCCGGUUUUCAAGACAAGCUUGCUGGGUCAGCCUGUAGUUAUUUCCACCGACGCAGAGGUGAAUCGAUUUGUUUUUCAGCACGAGGACACCUUGUUCAGUAUCGGGUACCCUUGGGUAGUGACUAAAAUAUUCGGUGAGAAGAGCAUCCAAGCCUUCCAUGGCUCAAUCCACAAGUUCGUCCGUAGAUGCACCUUCACACUGCUCGGCCUCCGAAGCCUCAGAGAGGUGCUCCUUCCUGAGAUGGAGGGCGCCGUCAGGGAGCGCCUUGCUGCAUGGGCCACCAUGCCGAGCGUCGACGUGCGCGGCGGUGCGCCUGACCUUCUGUUCGAGAUGGUGACGAGGAGGUGCAUUGGUUUCGAUUCCACCAAGUCAAGACAACUGAGGGACAAGUUCGAUGCGCUUUUCUCAGGCUUGUUCUCCUUUCCAAUAUAUUUCCCAGGGACACCAUUUUACCGAUGCAUGCAGGCCAGGAAAAAUGUGCAGAAGAUACUACGGGAUACGUUGGCGGAGAGGUUAAGUACACCAGGGAAGAAACAUGGCGACCUCCUUGACGUAAUUGUCCAAGAGCUGCAGGGUGAAGGGCCAUUAAUAAGUGAGAGUUUUGCUGUUGAUUUGGUCUCCACGUUGUUGUUCUCCAGCGUCUUCACGUUAUCAGGAAUAAUCGCUGUAGCAUUCAAAUCACUCCAUGACAACCCGGACGUUGUCCAUGCCCUCCAGAAAGAGAACCCAGCUAUGCUCAAGGAUCGAAAGGGUGGGUGCUCUGGGCUCACAUGGGAGGAGUACAAGUCAUUAACAUUCACUAAUCAGGUGACCAAUGAGAUUAUUCGAAUAAGCAAUGCCGUAGUUGGAAUAUUCAGAAGAACUCUCACCGAUGUACAAGUCAACGGCUACACAAUUCCAGCCGGGUGGCAGGUCAUUGUGAACCCCAUGGCAGUUCAUCUCAACGAAGAAUUGUUCGAAGACCCACUAAAAUUUAACCCAUGGAGGUGGCUGGAUGAGUCAAAGCGCAACACAAUGUUGAAGAAUUUCUUGCCAUUCGGAGCAGGCAUCAGGGCAUGUCCUGCCGCAGAGUUUGUCAAGCUGUUUGUAACACUUACCCUCCAUAUUUUGGUGAUGGAGUAUAGAUGGGAAGAAAUCAAAGGAGCUGAUGCAUUUCGUAGCGCGGAUGUUAUGUUCCCACUGGGCUAUCACAUUCGACUUAGAACACAGGACGACAAAAUUAAUUGA
This 1449-nucleotide ribosomal RNA is filed under the name Triticum aestivum (bread wheat). RNAcentral describes it as "partial small subunit ribosomal RNA". The record is from RNAcentral. Lineage: Eukaryota; Viridiplantae; Streptophyta; Magnoliopsida; Poales; Poaceae.